GACGAACGCUGGCGGCGUGCUUAACACAUGCAAGUCGAACGGAAAGGCCCUGCUUGCCGGGUACUCGAGUGGCGAACGGGUGAGUAACGCGUGGGUGAUCUGCCCUGCACUUCGGGAUAAGCCUGGGAAACUGGGUCUAAUACCGGAUAGGAGCCAUCUUUAGUGUGAUGGUUGGAAAGUUUUUUCGGUGUAGGAUGAGCUCGCGGCCUAUCAGCUUGUUGGUGGGGUAAUGGCCUACCAAGGCGGCGACGGGUAGCCGGCCUGAGAGGGUGGACGGCCACAUUGGGACUGGGAUACGGCCCAGACUCCUACGGGAGGCAGCAGUGGGGGAUAUUGCACAAUGGGCGCAAGCCUGAUGCAGCGACGCCGCGUGGGGGAUGACGGCCUUCGGGUUGGAAACUCCUUUCGCUAGGGACGAAGCUUUUUGUGACGGUACCUAGAUAAGAAGCACCGGCUAACUACGUG
RNAcentral lists this ribosomal RNA (465 nucleotides) under uncultured bacterium. Its description in RNAcentral is "partial 16S ribosomal RNA". It matches the Rfam family "Bacterial small subunit ribosomal RNA", at positions 28 to 507 of the family's 1533-position model. The record is from RNAcentral.